RNAcentral lists this long non-coding RNA (1064 nucleotides) under Varroa destructor (honeybee mite). RNAcentral describes it as "uncharacterized LOC111247649, transcript variant X1". The record is from RNAcentral. Lineage: Eukaryota; Metazoa; Arthropoda; Arachnida; Mesostigmata; Varroidae.
CCUUGCAACUUCUGUUGCUAUGACGGAGAUUACACAACUAGAUUUUUCGUAGACAUGUAGCCUGUGUUGCAGCCAAUCGUCACAGUUCGAACAUUCGUACGAAAUAGAUGACAAAGUAACAACCUGUCAAGUGCCAGCAAGACUAAAGCUUGUAUGAAAUAAAAUUUGUGUUGUGUUGGAUUCCUGAACAAGAGCUUGUUGUAAUAAUGUCAUGGUCUGAAUGAGUGCUUCCUCAACAUAGGCCUCUUCAUUCAGGUCGCUGUGAAGGUCAUGUCGGCUGCAUCAAAUCAAAAGGUGCGCCGUCCCGAGUGCACGGUAUACAUCCUACUCAUCAAUACCAUAGACAAUGAAAAUGUACUGCCGACUAUCGACGCAGUGUUGAUGAUGAUCGAAUCUGGAAGAAGUCUUAUGAUGACGAUCUUUACGGCUAAAACCGUUCUCGAACGACAAAGUGACGCGCUCCUCCGAAGUAAGCCAUUCGACAGACGAUCCCGAUGACGCCAACGAUGCUUUUCUAUGUCACACGCGCCAUUGUGUGUGACUUCAUCAAAUUAUCGAUAAACGUAUUAUAUGAUAAAAAAAUAAACAAUGUGCUGUUUACAAAAGCUAACUUUAUUAGUACAUAGAUUUGUUUGUGCCUUUUUCGCGACCGAAGGGACCAAAUGUGAUUCGAAAUCUGAAUCCAAAAGCAGCAUGCAAGAGACACUAUAGAAAAGAGGCAAAUAGGGAUCUGGUAGAGAGAGCAUUUACUUUGCACCAGACUUCGUUUUAAGUCUUGGUCAACCGGAAGGCGCUUAAAAAGAUUAAAGGGGGCCCAAAAUGACCUUAGUAAGAUUUAUAACAUGGAGUCGUUUACAACAAACAUACACUUAUUUCAUAUUUAUAUUAAUAUUUUAAGUUUUCGGAUCAACGAAAACUAAUAAAAUGUAGACUAAAAAAUCAUACCCAAAUCGACUUAAUAGGAAUCCUGCAUGCGUCGUACAAGAAAAUUUAGUUAAUACUGAUACAUAAUAACGCGCUGUGUCUUACUUACACACAUGUUAGAUGUUAAUAAAUUUAACGAA